Microplitis demolitor is the source of this 674-nucleotide long non-coding RNA. RefSeq lists it as uncharacterized. The transcript has 3 exons. The record is from RefSeq and is a predicted model, not a curated record. NCBI's taxonomy places the organism in Eukaryota, Metazoa, Arthropoda, Insecta, Hymenoptera, Braconidae.
GCCGUUAUUGGAGUAAAUUGUUGGCUAAUUAAUGACAGAAAGUUUUAUAAAGUUAAUUAUUAAAUAUUAUUAUCUAAAGUUAAAACAAUUAUAAACAUUAACCUGAAGGCGUUGAUAUCAAUUAUUAGUAUGUAUAUAUAUUGGAAACUGGGACAUUAAUUAAAUUAUUUAUUAAGAGGUAUAUGACAGCGUUAAAGUUCGUAUUACUAAUUAGUAAAAUUAAUUCUCGACCUCGGUGACAAGGUACUCUAGUUUCAAUUAGUCUUACGGCAAUUGGCUGAGAAACUGACGUCUACGACGUCAAUGUGAAAUUGCUUUUCCGAAUACAAUAAUCAGCUUACUUGAUGCAUUCCACAAUGGGGGAUAAAUUCAUCUUUGAGAAAGCACAGAGAGAUAAGAUUAAGGAAAAGUCGUGUUUUAAGAUUUAUAUCGAACAAUAGUCCCGGAACAUUAAAUUUAUCUGCUAAAUUGUCUCUAUAUACCUAAUAUAAUUCUGGUAGCGAUGUGGGUAUAUGAGAGGAUUUAUCACGAGGAUUUAAUACUAUUUUUCCGAGGGGACCCUUAUUGUUAUUAGUUUUGCUGAAGUGUAAUUUACCUCAAAUUUGUCUGUAUCAGUAGAAUUCAGAUGAAUACUCUCGGGAAUGGAUGUUAGUAUGUCUUGGCUAUCAGCUUUG